CCUAAUUUCUGUCAGAAAAAUGGUUCCGAUUGAAAACGUGAAUUUACCUUAUGAAGAAAAACAGGGGAGGAACAUGGAAGGAUAUAUACCAUGGUGAAAUUGAGAUUUGGUCAGGAAAGAAGAUGAACUCCUCCCUACUGCUCCCUCCGCCGUUCUAGUGAUUCAAAGAUUGCCAAGGAGAAACGUGGUGUGGGAGGAAGGAGAUUUGGAAGUUUAUUUGCUAAAUAAAAUAAUGAAUACUUCCUUCUGCAAUGACGGAAGAAAUUUUGGAACGAGAUUUGCAGAAUAAGGAGGCGGCGCGUGAAGGAGGGGAGAUCUGUGCCAUAUCUCUUAUUUACAUAUUCUGUUAUUAGAAGUAACCAAGGAAAGUCUUGGUGACCAAGGAAAGGAGUAGGGUUUUGAUUAAAAUUAAUUUGGGCUUCAAGCACCGGUAUUUUUUUUUUUUUUAAAUUGUGUAGCCCGUAAUUAAGAUCGGACUUAUUUAUUUAAUUUAUCGGAUCCAACAUGGAAUUGAGUCCAAUAAAUAAUCCUCAAGAAAAGGAUUUAAUUAAAUUCACAUUGUGAUUUUACUAUCACCAUUCUCGAGCUCUCAUAACAAAUUAUCAAUUAUCCGAAAAUCAUUAAAUUCACCGCACAUGUAUUAUUCAAAAA
This is a non-coding RNA of Salvia hispanica, 651 nucleotides long. The record is from RefSeq and is a predicted model, not a curated record. Lineage: Eukaryota; Viridiplantae; Streptophyta; Magnoliopsida; Lamiales; Lamiaceae.